GGGAGACACACGGCGGGUGCUAACGUCCGUCGUGAAGAGGGAAACAACCCAGACCGCCAGCUAAGGUCCCAAAGUCAUGGUUAAGUGGGAAACGAUGUGGGAAGGCCCAGACAGCCAGGAUGUUGGCUUAGAAGCAGCCAUCAUUUAAAGAAAGCGUAAUAGCUCACUGGUCGAGUCGGCCUGCGCGGAAGAUGUAACGGGGCUAAACCAUGCACCGAAGCUGCGGCAGCGAACGUAUCACCCAAGACAACUUUACGGAGUUGACGAUUGACGGAGCGAAGCGACGUCAAAGCGUUCAUUAAAGUCGAGUUGGCUUAGGGAUACGUUCGUUGGGUAGGGGAGCGUUCUGUAAGCCUGUGAAGGUGUGUCGUGAGGCAUGCUGGAGGUAUCAGAAGUGCGAAUGCUGACAUAAGUAACGAUAAAGCGGGUGAAAAGCCCGCUCGCCGGAAGACCAAGGGUUCCUGUCCAACGUUAAUCGGGGCAGGGUGAGUCGACCCCUAAGGCGAGGCCGAAAGGCGUAGUCGAUGGGAAACGGGUUAAUAUUCCCGUACUUGGUGUUACUGCGAAGGGGGGACGGAGAAGGCUAUGUUGGCCGGGCGACGGUUGUCCCGGUUUAAGCGUGUAGGUGUGUGUUCCAGGUAAAUCCGGUUCACUUUAACACUGAGGCGUGACGACGAGGCACUACGGUGCUGAAGCAACAAAUGCCCUGCUUCCAGGAAAAGCCUCUAAGCAUCAGGUAACACGAAAUCGUACCCCAAACCGACACAGGUGGUCAGGUAGAGAAUACCAAGGCGCUUGAGAGAACUCGGGUGAAGGAACUAGGCAAAAUGGUGCCGUAACUUCGGGAGAAGGCACGCUGACACGUAGGUGAAGUGAUUUACUCAUGGAGCUGAAGUCAGUCGAAGAUACCAGCUGGCUGCAACUGUUUAUUAAAAACACAGCACUGUGCAAACACGAAAGUGGACGUAUACGGUGUGACGCCUGCCCGGUGCCGGAAGGUUAAUUGAUGGGGUCAGCGUAAGCGAAGCUCCUGAUCGAAGCCCCGGUAAACGGCGGCCGUAACUAUAACGGUCCUAAGGUAGCGAAAUUCCUUGUCGGGUAAGUUCCGACCUGCACGAAUGGCGUAAUGAUGGCCAGGCUGUCUCCACCCGAGACUCAGUGAAAUUGAACUCGCUGUGAAGAUGCAGUGUACCCGCGGCAAGACGGAAAGACCCCGUGAACCUUUACUAUAGCUUGACACUGAACAUUGAGCCUUGAUGUGUAGGAUAGGUGGGAGGCUUUGAAGUGUGGACGCCAGUCUGCAUGGAGCCGACCUUGAAAUACCACCCUUUAAUGUUUGAUGUUCUAACGUGGACCCGUAAUCCGGGUUGCGGACAGUGUCUGGUGGGUAGUUUGACUGGGGCGGUCUCCUCCUAAAGAGUAACGGAGGAGCACGAAGGUUGGCUAAUCCUGGUCGGACAUCAGGAGGUUAGUGCAAUGGCAUAAGCCAGCUUGACUGCGAGCGUGACGGCGCGAGCAGGUGCGAAAGCAGGUCAUAGUGAUCCGGUGGUUCUGAAUGGAAGGGCCAUCGCUCAACGGAUAAAAGGUACUCCGGGGAUAACAGGCUGAUACCGCCCAAGAGUUCAUAUCGACGGCGGUGUUUGGCACCUCGAUGUCGGCUCAUCACAUCCUGGGGCUGAAGUAGGUCCCAAGGGUAUGGCUGUUCGCCAUUUAAAGUGGUACGCGAGCUGGGUUUAGAACGUCGUGAGACAGUUCGGUCCCUAUCUGCCGUGGGCGCUGGAGAACUGAGGGGGGCUGCUCCUAGUACGAGAGGACCGGAGUGGACGCAUCACUGGUGUUCGGGUUGUCAUGCCAAUGGCACUGCCCGGUAGCUAAAUGCGGAAGAGAUAAGUGCUGAAAGCAUCUAAGCACGAAACUUGCCCCGAGAUGAGUUCUCCCUGAGACUUAGAGUCUCCUGAAGGAACGUUGAAGACGACGACGUUGAUAGGCCGGGUGUGUAAGCGCAGCGAUGCGUUGAGCUAACCGGUACUAAUGAACCGUGAGGCUUAACCUUACAACGCCGAAG
Molecule: ribosomal RNA, 2065 nt
Filed under: Salmonella enterica subsp. enterica serovar 4,[5],12:i:-
Lineage: Bacteria; Pseudomonadati; Pseudomonadota; Gammaproteobacteria; Enterobacterales; Enterobacteriaceae
Description: partial 23S ribosomal RNA
Rfam family: Bacterial large subunit ribosomal RNA
Source: RNAcentral